GGCGUCGGUCUCGUAAACCGAAGAUCGCGGGUUCGAACCCCGUCCGUGCCUCAAAGGGCCGUCCCCGCUCUGCGGCGGCUCCAGCGGGGAGGCAAGGCGGAGGAGCCCCGGGCAGAGAGCCGCUUUUUGCCAUCCCGACCCGGACUUUCCGGAGAAGAAGAGGAAGAAGAAAAAGCGGAGUAUUUGGAGGAAAGGGGGCGGGGGAUUAAGGCGAAGCAAACAAGCCAGGAGGAAUGCAGCAGCAGGCAAGUUCCUCCCGGGCAGCGAAGGCGCGUGGGGUUUCCACGCCAGUCCGUGCAGCGCCGCAUUGCGCUGGGGAGCAAAGACAGCGCCUCCAUCCCUUGGGUCUUGGCCUUGCAAACGCCAUCCCGUCUCAAUGGACUUCGAUUCGGAUUCGCUCUCCUUCGAAUCGGAUGGCCUUGGGGUCCCUUCCGAAUGGACAGCGAUAGGAUUCGAUGAGGAAUGAAUGGAAGGAAGGAAAGGAGUCUUCAUUUCUACGACCGAACUAGGGAUCACCCAAGACACAGGGUCUCUUUGCUUUAACUACCACUUGAGGUUAUCGACUGCCUCUGCCAAAUUUGGGGGAACCAGGGGUGGAAGGAUGGGUUGGAUAGGUGCAAAUACUAUAAGAUAGCCCCUUGCGUAUCAUCCAAAAAAAAUCAUAUGGGUGUGUGUGAACAGAGAAUUGCACAGAGAAGUGUCACAUUCUACUUAUUUUAUGUUGGAUUUUAGCCAGAAUGUGAAAUUGUCCCUCUUUUUGUACUCUCUUGGGACGUAAGUACUUAAAUGCUGCAAUCUUUUGCCCACUUACCUGGUCUAAGACUCAUAUAACUCAUCUAAUGUUUCAGUGGACAUUAAGGUUUCCAGAUGUCUUUUUAUUAUAAAUGCUCCCGCAGUUUGAAGGCUGGAACAUUUUUCUUUUUGUAGAGAUGGAACAAGAUACCAAAAAGAUAUGUUUAUUUAAAGCGUGGGCUUUCACAAAGUCGGAAAUGUGUGCAUGAUGUAAUGGAUGGACGUGGGCAAAGUGUUAAUUUUACAGAGAAACACUUGGGCAGGUUCACUGAAACCAAUACUUCCGUUUUGUAUUUAGAUUGACUAUAAACUUGUUAACAGCUACUUCCUAAUUGCCUGGCCUGCACAUCUUGAAUAUUGACUUUCUUGUGAAAAAAAGGGGGAGGAAUACCAGUGGAGAUGUGUGGGAUUACUCUAAAACUGACAAGGCACAAGGGCUAGAUUCAGAUCGGCAGUCUCAUUUCCACAUGCAUCAUACAAAGUGUGUGGUUUUAAAAGCACUAGACCAGGGGUCCCCAAACUAAGGCCCGGGGGCCGGAUGCGGCCCUCCAAGGUCAUUUACCUGGCCCCCGCCCUCAGUUUUAUAAUAUAAUAUUUUUCUAUCAGUUUUAAUAAUAUAAUAUAUUGUAUAUACAUAUAAUAUUGAUAAUGUUAUUCAAUAUAGUACUAAUAAUACCAUAUAAUAAUAUUAAUUAUUAAUAUAUUACAUAUAAUAUUACAGUAUAGUGGUAUAGUUCAAUAUAGUAAUAUAUAAUGCUAAUAUUGUGCUAUGCUAAUGAUAUAAUGUAUUGUAUGUACAUACAGCUGCUCUGAGUCCCCUUCUGGGUGAGAAGGGUGGGAUAUAAAUGUAGUAAAUAAAUGCAGUAAAUAAAUAAUUAAUUUUAGACUUAAGCUCGGCCAAAGUCUGAUAUGACUUGAAGGCACACAACAACAACAACAAUCCUAAUUAACUUGACUAUCUCAUUGACCAGUAGCAGACCCACACUUUCCAUUGAAAUCCUAAUAGGUUUAUGUUGGUUAAAAUUGUUUUCAUUUUUAAAUAUUGUAUUGUUCUUUUGUUGUUGUUGCACUACAAAUAAGACAUGUGCAGUAUGCAUAGGAAUUUGUUUGUAUUUUUUGUCAAAUGAUAAUUCGGCCCCUCCACAGUCUGAAAGAUUGUGGACUGGCCCUCUGCUUAAAAAGUUUGGGGACUCCUGCACUAGACCCUUUGUUAUAAAGCUGUCAAUCUCUGUAUUUGCUCGAGGAAAAUGUGAAUGUGGGCAAGAGCCAUGUUUUUUUUUUUUCACUGUGCGAGGGUAGAACAGCUUCUGUAUGUUUGGCUUGUAACAGUGAGAACAAAAUGCUCACUCAUCUCUGUAUCUCUCCCCCUCCGUAUAUUCUCAGUGAUAGUGGCAAGUGCAGGAGAGAGGUGAACUGAGCUUCUGAUUCAGCACAUGAUUUCUCUGACGGUUGCGCCAUUUGAGGCCCAGGAACCUCCUGGAAUUUGACCUCCUUGGGUUUUACGCAAGAUCAGGGAGAAAGCAGCGCAUAUUUUCAAUUCUGGGCAGCAGCCCCAAAGCUCAAGCAAGGUAUCUGUUGGAAUUCCAGGGGAAAUUGCAGGGGAACAAAGCCUCGAUUCUGAGGAGACCCCUUCCUUAGCUGUCCCUCCCCUUUCCCCCUCUUUUGAAGGGGCAACAAGCAUCUCCCAUCCCCCAGCUACAAAAGGGCUGCCAGCAAUUUAGAAAGAAAAUGUUCUUGAGUUUCUAUUGUUUCAUUCAAAUGCUUUGGGAGUAGAAGCAGCUUCGCUACAUAAGGUCAAGCUAAAGGUUUCCCCCUGAUAUUAAGUCUAGUCGUGUCCAACUCUGAGGGCUGGUGCUCAUCUCCAUUUCUAAGCCGAAGAGCUGGCAUUGUCCGUAGACACCUCCAAAGUCAUGUGGCCAGCAUGACUACAUGGAGCGCUGUUACCUUUCCGCCAGAGCUGUACCUAUUGAUCUACUCACAUUUGCAUGUUUUCGAACUGCUAGGUUGGCAGAAGCUGAGGCUAACAGCAGGAGCCCACCCCACUCCCCAGAUUCAAACCAUCGACCUUUCACUCAGCAGUUUACCCACUACGCCACCAGAGGCUCCUAUCUCCACUGU
RNAcentral lists this long non-coding RNA (2910 nucleotides) under Anolis carolinensis (green anole). RNAcentral's name for it is "lncRNA (ENSACAG00000043434.1)". The stretch from base 1 to 51 matches the Rfam family "tRNA", at positions 22 to 71 of the family's 71-position model. Lineage: Eukaryota; Metazoa; Chordata; Lepidosauria; Squamata; Anolidae. The record is from RNAcentral.